AUUAACGCUGUCGGCGUGCCUAAGAUAUGCAAGUCGUACGAAACUCGUGUUUAUGAAACUUCGGUUGAUUAAACACAUAUGAGUUUAGUGGCAAACGGCUGAGUAAUACAUAGAGAACCUGCCCCAGAGAUGGGUACAGCUCACCGAAAGGUGGGGUAAUACCCAAUGGACCCUUGUCCGAUUCGUCGGAUGUAGUGUAAAGAUUGCAGCUUGCUGUAGUCGCUCUGGGAUGGCUCUGUGGCCUAUCAGCUUGUUGGUGAGGUAAAGGCUCACCAAGGCUAAGACGGGUAGCUGGUCUGAGAGGAUGACCAGCCAGACCGGGACUGAGACACGGCCCGGACUCCUACGGGAGGCAGCAAUCAGGAAUCUUGCGCAAUGGGGGAAACCCUGACGCAGCGACGCCGAGUGAAGGAUGAAGGCUUUAGGGUCGUAAACUUCUUUUAUAAGAGAACAAUUUUGAGUGUACCUUAUGAAUAAGGGCCUGCUAACUGCGUGCCAGAAGCAUCGGUAAUACGUGGGGCUCGAGCGUUAUUCGGAAUUAUUGGGCGUAAAGAGAGGCGUAGGCGGCUUAACAAGUCUUCUGUUAAAUACCAAGGCUUAACCUUGGAACUGCGGAGGAUACUGUUUCGCUUGAGGCAGAGAGGGGGAAGUGGAAUUCCCGGUGGAGCGGUGAAAUGCGUUGAUAUCGGGAGGAACACUAGUGGCGAAAGCGACUUCCUGGCUCUAGCCUGACGCUAAGGCUCGAAAGCGUGGGUAGCAAAACGGAUUAGAUACCCGUGUAGUCCACGCCGUAAACUAUGGAUACUAGGUGUUUGAUUUGAACCUUACUUAACUUCGGUUUUGUAGGGGUAAAAUUGAGUGCCGCAGCUAACGCAUUAGGUAUCCCGCCUGGGGACUACGGCCGCAAGGCUAAAACUCAAAGGAAUUGACGGGGACGCGCACAAGCAGUGGAGCGUGUGGUUUAAUUCGACGCUAAGCGAAGAACCUUACCAGGGUUUGACAUUUACCUGCACGCCUCUAGAAAUAGAGGAAGCCUUCGAGGGUGGUAAACAGACGCUGCAUGGCUGUCGUCAGCUCGUGUCGUGAGAUGUCCGGUUAAGUCCGGUAACGAGCGCAACCCCUAUCCCGUGUUAUAUUUGUCUCGGGAAACUGCCUCGCCAAAACGAGGAGGAAGGUGGGGACGACGUCUAGUCCGCAUGGCUCUUACAUCCUGGGCAACACACGCGCUACAAUGGUCAAUACAACGGGCAGCGAAGGAGCGAUCCGGAGCUAAUCCUGCAAAGUUGACCUCGGUUCGGAUUGAAGGCUGAAAUUCGCCUUCAUGAAGUUGGAAUUGCUAGUAAUCGUGGGUCAGCAAACCACGGUGAAUACGUUCUCGCGUCUUGCACACACCGCC
This 1396-nucleotide ribosomal RNA is filed under the name uncultured bacterium. RNAcentral's name for it is "bacterial SSU rRNA". It matches the Rfam family "Bacterial small subunit ribosomal RNA", at positions 29 to 1394 of the family's 1533-position model. The record is from RNAcentral.